This 438-nucleotide ribosomal RNA is filed under the name Triticum aestivum (bread wheat). RNAcentral's name for it is "partial small subunit ribosomal RNA". Lineage: Eukaryota; Viridiplantae; Streptophyta; Magnoliopsida; Poales; Poaceae. The record is from RNAcentral.
AUGAUUCAUCUUGAUGGCAUCAACAUCCCCGAUGGAAAGUUCUACCUAAGAGAUGCUGGUUAUGCAUGUCGGCAAGGUAUUCUUCCACCCUUCAAGACCAGGUACCAUCUGAACGAGUUCGCUGGUAGGAACUAUCCUAGGACUCCACAAGAGCUGUUUAAUCUCAGACACUCCAGCCUUAGAGUUACUGUUAAGAGGGCCUUUGGAGCUCUGGAGAACAGGUUUAAGCUAGAUCAGAAUCCAUUCCCCACUUUUCCCACUUAGGUUAAGCUUGUUCUUGUUGGUUGCAUUCUGCAUAACUGGAUCCUGCAAUGGGAUUGUGAUGAACUUGUGCCUGAGGAGGAAGAUGUGACUCCUGAUGAUGUUGUGAGCUUAGGCCAUGGUGUGGAGGCAUUUGACAAUGAAGCCUGGAAGAACAAAAAGCUGAAGUGGGCAUAA